AAGCGCAUGCUAGAGAGAUAUCUCGGGACAUGGAUGGACAACUCCUGUUAGUGGCUUGGAAAAGUCAAAUUUCAGAGUUUCUGAUCAUACAGAAGUAUGAAAGUAUGGAUCCCUCAGCUGUCUCAGCAGCAGCCAGGAAUAGAGAUGGGAUCAUCCAGGAAAUUUCUGUAGGGGAGCCUCUUGUCUAAUGGAGUAAAUCUUUGAGAUAUACACAGGAAAUCCACAAAAUCUACUGAGAACUUUAUGCCAGCAGAAACACUGCCAGUUUGGAUCAAAUGGUACAGAGAGAGAAAAUGAAAGAAGGCUGCUGGAUCCUUAAAAUUCUAUAGGAAAGAAACAAACUGAUAAAACUACUCAGCAGUAAACCUGAGACCUUUCAUAAAAGAAAGAGAGCAUAACUCCAAGGGUGGAGGCUUGAGCUAGAAAGCGUCAUUCCCAGACUGUGGAACCAGAUGGGAUGUUCUUGGCUGGAUUUUGAAAUUGCUUGGGACCUGUGACUCCUUUUUUCCUUCCAUUUUCUUCACCUUUCAGCCAAAUGUCUAUAAUCAGUAUCCUGUGCCUGUCCAACCAUAGUUCUUUGGAAGCAGAUAACUUAUUUCUUGCAUUUCAUAAGCUCACAGACAGAGAGGAAUUUUGUCUCAGAUGGGUGAUAGCCAGAGCCUUACCUACAACCUGAUUUAGGUGAUGAAACUUGAGAUUUUUGAGCUGAGAUUUAGGACUUGAUGCUGUAAUGAGUUGAGAUUUUGGGGACCUUGGGAUGAAGUGAAUGCAUUUUGUAUGAGGGAUAGUUGUGACUGUUUGGAGGCCAGUGGGUAGACUGUGGUAGGCAAGAUAAUGGCCCUGCAAAGAUGUCCACUUCUAAUCCCUAGAACUUUUAAAUAUGUUACAUCACAUGGCAAGAGAAAAUUAAGUCUUCAGAGAGAAUUAACUUUGCUAAUCAACUGAACUUAAAACAAGGAGAGUAUCCUGGAUUAUCCAAGUGAAUACACUGUAAUCACAAGGGUCUUUAAAUGGGGAUGAGGAAGGCAGAAGAGCUGGAAUCAGAGAGAUGGCAGAAAGAUUAGAUUGGACAUUGCUGGCUUUGAAAAAGAAAUAAGCCCACAAGCCAAGGAAUAUGGGCAGCCUCUGAAAGCUGAAAAAGAUAAGAAAGCAGAUUUUCUCCUUGAGCCUUCAGAAGUGAACACAAACCUGCGACACUUUGAUUUUAAUCUAGUCCCCAGUGUGAUAGUAUUGGUGGAACAAAUUACCUUUAGCAGAUAAUUUGGAUUAGUGCCCUUGUAAGAGACAUGAAAGAGAGACCUCCUCUCUCUCAUGUAGUCAAGUGAGUCUAUAUCAAGAAGCCAGCUGUCUGCAAAUCAGGAAGUGGCCUCCUACCAGAUACUGGUUCUGCCAGCACCUUGAGCUUAGACUUUCCAGCAUCCAAAACUGGGAGAAAUAAAUGUUUGUUGCUUAAGCCACCAUUCUAUGGUGUUUUUGUUCCUGAAACCCAAACGAACCAAGACACUUACAUUUUAGACACACAUGCUCAAAUACACACACACACUUUUAUACACAAGUAGCAAACUAUACAUAUUAUCUUAUACAUUGCCUCUUUUGUAAACUUAAAAUAUUUGAGAGAUCGUUUUUUAAUGGCAUAUAGAGAUUUCUUUAUUGCUUUUUACAGUGGCAUUGUAGUCCAUUGUACAGAUUAACUAUAACUAAUUUAAUCACUUCUUUAUUUUUUUGGUAUUUAGAUUGUUUAUAGUCUUUCACUGUAUAAAGAAUGCUGCUGCCACGAUCGGCUUUAUUUCAUACACAUUUUUAUAUUUUUGUUAGUUCAGUAUUGGGAUAGAUUCCUGGAAGUGAGAUUGCUGCAUCAAAAAGUAAAUUUUCCUAGGUAUAGUCAAAUGAAAGGGCUUUGAAAAAAUAAGUAGUUACCAGAGAUUAUUUGUGUGAUGCCAGUGUCUACCGUUUGACUUAGGAAUAGUUGAUGGAAGAGGAGCCAAGAAGGAAGUGUUACAGUUAAGACCAGGGUUGUGAGUGUGGUCAUACUUGUGGAUGCUGAAAACAGAAGAACUGGAAAUGAGAGGAAGACCGUCUAAUAUUAGGUGCUAUGAUUGUUAGAAAGUGACAAGGGUGACUGGGAGGUUGAUGGAUGGCAGCAGGGAGAAGAUGGAAUGGGUGGCAAAGCCAUAAGACAUGAAUCUGAAAUGGUCUGAAGUUUCUAUAAGCCAGUGGGAAGGCCAAGGUCAAGAAGCAAGAGGACCACUGUCAUAGUCAUUUGGGGCUGUUAUAAAAAACAGCCAAAGACUGGUUACAAGAAACAUUUAUUUCACAUAGUUCUGGAGGCUGGAAGGUCCAAGAUCAAGGUGCCAACAGAUCUGGUGUCUGGUGAGGGUCCACCUCCUAGUUUGCAGAGGGCCAUCAUCUCAUAUCGUUAUAUGCUGGGGAGCGGAAGGUAGGAAGCAAGCUGUUUUAUGUCUCUUCUUAUAAGGGCCCUAAUCCAUUUCAUGAGAGCUCUUCCCUCAUGACCUAAUUACCUCCUAAUACUAUCACACUAGGGGUUAGGACUUUAACAGGAAUUUGAAGGCAGGCGGGCAGGGGGCGGGGGUACACGAACAUUUAGUCCAUAGAAGUUAUCCAAGCCUGAGAUUCUGCGGAUGUGAAAGAUGAAACAGAAAACCACUAGAGGACCUCAGGGAAAGAGUGUCCUAGGGGACAGCUAGAUUAAAUCAAAAGGUGACUGGAAUGUCCUGAGAAGACUUUCAGAGUGUGGGAGUGCUUUUCAUGGCAUGGGAGGACACUCUAGAAGUAUUUAGGAGGACAGGGGGAGGUGGUGGUUUGCAUCACAAAAGGGAGUCACAGAGAGAGAUUAACUAGGGAUUUGGGGGUUGUUGGAGGACUAGCAGUAACUGAAGUGAUUAGGGAUGUGUGGUGUUGAGGCAUGGUUGACCACCUCCCCAGAUCCAUUCCUCACUGAACCUUCCCCCACCUCAUUCUCCUUUCUAAAAGAGCCUUGAGGCGGUUUAGCUAUCUCUCUUCAAGCCUUGUAUCUGUCCUUCCCUAGCCCUAGGGAGUGGGUACUAAAGCCAUCAUGAACAUCCUGGUUUUAUACCCAAUAUUUGGUUUAGGUACAGACAUGUGAUGAAAUUCUGUCUAAUGGAAAGCAAUAGGAUGUAUUCUGGGAAUUAUUUUCUAACUCUUCAUAAAAUAUACAAGGAAAAGAUAGCCACUCUUUUACUUGUAGAAGUUAUUGUUUCUGGUAUAAUGCUCGGAACUCCUGUCGUCAUCUGGGACCAUGAAGACUGACAUUAAAAAGGCCAUUUGCUGAGCCUGGCAGAACAAAAAGUAGAAGGAAUCUGGGUUCUUGAUGACCACAUAGGCUACUGAGUCAGCAAGCUCUGAAGCUGCCAUUCUGUUGUGGGACAUAGUUAAUGUCCUUAUAUACAACUUUGAGUUGGGCUAUUCUUUGCAUCCACAACUGUAAUAACUGACACCAUGAGGCUGAAGAAGAUUAGAAAAUAUACUUCUUUGUCAUACACAUGACCAUCCCCAACAGCAUAGGGACUUACCACUAAAACUAUAUGAAGAAAUAGAUAUAUUGGUAGAGGAGUUCCCAUCGUGGCUCAGUGGUUAACGAAUCCAGCAGGGAACCAUGAGGUUGCGGGUUCGAUCCCUGGCCUCGCUCAGUGGGUUAAGGAUCUGGCACCAUGAACUGUGGUGUAGGUCAUAGAUGUGGCUCAGAUCCCAAGUUGCUGUGGCUCUUGGUGUAGCCUGGCGGCUACAGCUCCAAUUCUACCCCGAGCCUGGGAACCUCCGUAUGCCACAGCUGCAGCCUUAGAAAAGAGCAAAAAAAAAAA
This 3839-nucleotide long non-coding RNA is filed under the name Sus scrofa (pig). RNAcentral's name for it is "lncRNA (ENSSSCG00055020804.1)". The record is from RNAcentral. Lineage: Eukaryota; Metazoa; Chordata; Mammalia; Artiodactyla; Suidae.